This is a long non-coding RNA of Oxyura jamaicensis (ruddy duck), 2081 nucleotides long. RefSeq lists it as uncharacterized. The transcript is spliced from 6 exons. NCBI's taxonomy places the organism in Eukaryota, Metazoa, Chordata, Aves, Anseriformes, Anatidae. The record is from RefSeq and is a predicted model, not a curated record.
GGGAAAGGCAAGUUGCUUGAACCAUGGGGUGGAAGUAUUCUGGGGAAGCAGCACCUAGCAGGAGGGCUUGGGCAGCUGCCACCAGCCUUGAGAGGGGUUCACUCAGCUGUACGGCCUGACCCAGGUAAUGAAGCACUUUGGAGACAAGGCAAGGGAAAGAGCUGUUUUCCAGUGGCCUCCCAGACCAGGAGUUGCACAGCUUUUGGACACAUGCUGGCCUAGUGCAGCGUGCCGGGGAGAUGGGCUGCGCAAAGCCUCCUGAUGACUUGGUGGAGGAGAACAGCUACAGGAGAGGAGCAGGUCUUGUCCACUUCCCAGGCAGCCUUUGGGCUGGCUCACAGCUGUGCUUAUCCUAGAAUCCUAGAAUUGUAGAAUAUCCUGAGUUGGAAGGGAUCCAUAAGGAUCAUCCAGUCCAACUCCUGGCACCACACAGGUCUACCCAAAAGUUUAGACCAAUUUUAGAUCCUGCCAAGAGAGGGCCAGCUCUCUGCUCUGAAGCAGCCACAGCAGGAAAAGGCUGCAUCUGCAGAUGAUUGGAAACAUACCUGCAAGUCCCAGGUUGUUCAUAUCCAAAGUCUUGGAAGUUCAGUUCUGCACCAAACCCUUUGAAGUUCAUUCCCAUCUCUGCAAACGAGUGAUGGAAAUGACAGAGCAUCUGAAACUUGUUAAGAACCUAACGCAAGGACCCCCGUUUAACGUAGUGGCAUUUGGAUCAGGCCCUCGCAGUGAACUCUCCUGAAGGGGGCAGUCUAUCAGGUUUUGCUCAGGCCAGAAGGAUGAGGCUCUGUGUUUGUCAUUAGGACUGGGUACACACAGUUCUGUGGAUUUUGUACUUUUACAGCUGCUCUGCGAUAAUAUUGCAGUUUGCUACUGCUGUUUCGCUGUGCAAAUGGUUGUAAAGCAAGAAGGUUACGGGAGGACGCUUGUGUGAAGCUCUGAACGCCGGCUGCAGUGGCUUCUCGGUACUUGGUUGUCUUCCAGAUCUCUGGGGUUGGGCUUCACCUGUGCCAAAGAAGUGUGUCGUCUAGUGGUUCCCAUGCUUUCCGGAGCCAAGCCUCAUGUUCGAACCCUGGCAGUGUCCCAUGCUUCCUUGGAUCCUGCUCCAACUGGAUCAGGGCUCAGAGUCCUGGUUUGCCACUUGCACAUGUAUGCGUGCACCUGCGCUUUGAUGUGAAGUGUUAGCAAGUACAGUUUGGCGUGGUAAUGCAAAAUCUGUCAGAGCAGGUUGCCCACCUGAAGUUGGUUCCUCAAAUGUAGGGCAACCACAUUUCUGCUGUGAUUUCUGGGAUUCUAGAAAUCCUGUUGCAAUUUAGAAAGAAGUUGUACAGUCUCCAAAUCUGCCUCUCCUUCCAGACUGGGAGCUGGACUGGUUUGUAAAGUGUAGCCUCUAUACCCUGCUUCCAUUUGUGAUUGUUCAGAAUAUUGGGGCACAGGCAAAGCACCACGAUGGUUUUCUGCACCCUUUGAUGCACUAAUGCACUCAGGAAGCUGCUUGGGCUCUCUCAGAUAGAGCAAACCUUACUCAGACAGAACUGGUGAGCAAACCAUUUUCUUUUUUUUUUCUUUUUUUCUUUUUUUUAAAUGAAGUUCUUCAGAUCAGCUUUCAAUCUAGUACUUUGAACGUGUGCUUAUUUCCCAUUGCUGUACAGUCAGAUGUGCAUGUGCUUCAGGGUCUCUUAAAUGGGGGUAUUUUCCACAACCAGGGCCAAAUUUUGAUGUUUUAUCACAAUUUUGCAAGAAUUUCAGCAGGAUGCAGUUUUGUUUCCCUUUCUGUAAGUUGUGCCAUUUGUCAGAUGUGGUAUGUACAGUAUCUAGGAAAUAUUUUUGCCUAGUUUAUAAAGGCAGUUGUUAGUCAGAUGGGCAAAAAUUUAAAAAGGUCUCUGCCACAGCUUGGAAAAUCGGAAAAUUACGUUAAAAUAGUCUUUGGUAAGUGCGUCUGUUUGGUAAAAAAUGCCUGCUGGAAAUCUUCCACUCACAAGACUUUUACGAUGGUAAAUGUAAUUUCUGCCAAAAGGAAGAAAUGUUGACUUUGCCUGAAUUUUACAAGUUUAUCAUGAGAAAUAUCUCCAUGUUUCAGAUCA